AUUGAACGCUGGCGGCAUGCUUUACACAUGCAAGUCGAACGGUAACAGGCCGCAAGGUGCUGACGAGUGGCGAACGGGUGAGUAAUGCAUCGGAACGUGCCCAGUCGUGGGGGAUAACUACUCGAAAGAGUAGCUAAUACCGCAUACGAUCUAUGGAUGAAAGCGGGGGACCGUAAGGCCUCGCGCGAUUGGAGCGGCCGAUGUCGGAUUAGGUAGUUGGUGGGGUAAAGGCUCACCAAGCCAACGAUCUGUAGCUGGUCUGAGAGGACGACCAGCCACACUGGGACUGGGACACGGCCCAGACUCCUACGGGAGGCAGCAGUGGGGAAUUUUGGACAAUGGGCGCAAGCCUGAUCCAGCAAUGCCGCGUGCAGGAAGAAGGCCUUCGGGUUGUAAACUGCUUUUGUACGGAACGAAACGGCUCUGGUUAAUACCCGGGGCUAAUGACGGUACCGUAAGAAUAAGCACCGGCUAACUACGUG
This 482-nucleotide ribosomal RNA is filed under the name uncultured bacterium. RNAcentral's name for it is "partial 16S ribosomal RNA". It matches the Rfam family "Bacterial small subunit ribosomal RNA", at positions 30 to 507 of the family's 1533-position model. The record is from RNAcentral.